Molecule: long non-coding RNA, 2436 nt
Organism: Dendroctonus ponderosae (mountain pine beetle)
Lineage: Eukaryota; Metazoa; Arthropoda; Insecta; Coleoptera; Curculionidae
Exons: 2
Source: RefSeq, a predicted model, not a curated record
ACCAAUUAGCGUUGAAAGCAAGAUUACUGUAAGGUCAACGUCUUUUAAUCAAGUUUGUUCCCAAAAUCUUCUAUCUCGAAGCAAAAUCACGUUGCUUUACCUACCAAUGGUUGGUAUAACAUUUAUCUUUUUCAUUGUCAUUGUAAGUAGCCAGAGUUAUUAAAAGAUUAUUAAUUAUACAGAAUGAAAACUCUUUUGAUAUAGCAUCAAAUGUAACAAAGUAAAUUGACAUAAAGUAUUUAAUUAAAUAAAUAUGAAGUUCCCCAUAAUUUAGAUAGAUAUCGUCAUUUAUUCGAUCCUUAUUCAGUUAUCAGCUGAAGCUAGAAUGUUCGCUUAACAAUCGCCUGCUUAUGAUUGAUUAAAUGAAAAGUACCAACUCGCUCAAGUCGACUAUCAUUUUGACCCAAAAACCAUUAAGAAACUUUGGUGCAACGCACUCAGGCCAUGAAAAAAACUUGCGUAGACGUAGACGAACUGGGUAUCUGUACUUAUUCUCAAGUACUUUAUCCAUCUUGACUGUCUCCAUUUGUUUAAGCUUCACUUCAAUGAAAUAAUCAGGAUUGGAUCCUCUUAAAAUGAUGUAAUUUUUUAUGUGACUGUCUAAAAGCGAUAGAAUUUCGGUUGUAUAGAUUUGGUGCAGAGAAAAUGUAUUUAUUUCAAGUUCAACGUGUAGCUUUUCUGGAGAUGCAAUUUUUACUUAAAGCAUUUGUGAGUUGUAUUUAAAUACAACUGUUUUGCUCGAAAACGCUCGAAAAACCCACCAGUUUCCAACUUUCCAAACAACAAAAAGCCAAACUCCAUCAAUUUUUCAGUCAGUUAUGUACCCACUGUCCAAGUUUUAAUAAUGGGCUUUUACCGGACAAUUCGUGCUCAGCUGCUUUGAGUUUGAGAUCGAUUACAUCGUGUUCCUCUUGUUCCAAAGCUUAACUUUGUUAUGGCAAUUUAAUAAAGGCACUUUCCUCUGCUUACAGGAAUUUUCCAAUUUUAUUAGCGUUCCGCUCAACUGGCUGUUCGUAAUUUUUCAUAUGAUAGACCCAGUUUUCCUCAGAAGAAUUUUUUAUUGAAAAGUUCGCGAAAAAACAAGUAGAACAUCGUUCAAACGGUCAUAGUAGAGAUAAAAUCAAUUUCCGUUACGAGAUUGAGUCGUUGAUGAACACCGUUUUCUUGCCUUUUUAAACCUUUUACAAAAUUGGAGGAAAAAGAUAACAGAAAUCACAUAAACACAUUUUUGUUUAACUUUUCUGAACGUUUUCUUUGGAGCAAAACAUCGAUUUUGCUCGGGUUUUAAUCAAAUUUUCAAUGCAUAAUAAUUAUAAUAAAUAAGUUUGCUGAUUACAUUGUUAUGUUUUGUGCUCCGAAAGUUUGCAUGAACUGAAAUACAAAAAGGUUUUUGUAUAGUUUGUGUUUUCCUGUUUCUGCCUGCGCAAAAGCUUCAAAAAGUCAACACAGUUUUGAUGAUAUGAUGAUCAAUGCAAAUUAUUUUGUAUAAUGAAACGAUUACGCAUCAUGGUCUUUAAUAUAUUUUUUAAGACACUUCAGUCAGGAGAGUUUUAGACUUUAUUGUUAAUGCAGUUAAUGCGGGUAAAGGCGAGUUUUUCAACGUUUUUAUGAAUGAUCAGUUCAAGUUGCCAUAAAAAUGCGUUUAUUUGUUGUUUUAAACUGUCUGCUGCUCAGAAAUUAGCAUUUAGUUCUGAUAUAUUUAAUCAAAAUUUAAAAAAAUCAAAAAAAUACAAAACCCGUCAUCUCAUUCUUCAUUCUUGGUUAACAGUGAUUUCUUGGCUUUCUAACGCUUCUCUUGAAGGACUCAAAAAGGCAAGAGAAAAUUACUGGUGUUCGAUUUAGAAAAAAAUCUGAUUUAUUGGUCUUGGAUUGGAUAAGUUUGAGAAAAUUCAUUAUUGAGAAAUCACAAAAGCUGAAACUGAAAUUUUUGAAAAAAAUGAGAAUUCGCGAGAUUACGAAUUGAGUAUGUUUGUAAUUUUAUGUAAUAAUUUAAGUAGUUUAUCGAUUAUUGCGAAAAUAUGUGUUGGUUGUAGUGAAAACAUCAAUCAGCUCAAAACCAGUGGUAGAUUAAUCGCUCAUAGACACGAAACUGUUGAUGAUUAAUGUUAAAAUUAAUCUAUUACUAUCUACAUUUUUAUCACUGAGAGCAUUUAAAGUUGAUGUUUGCUGACUAAAAUCAUAUCUACCCGAUUCCUACUAUCAGUAAGCAACAAAAUGUUUGUUCGAAUUUUUAAAUUAUUGAUGAAUCCCACGUUUCAAGGAACAUUACUUGGGCGCACGGUAACUAGCAAUUAAAAGCAACUGUAAGGCAAACAAGAUCCACACCAACCCCAACCCCAUUUGUGCUGUAAUGAAAAUACUUUCUACACUUGUAACUCAUAUCAGCAUCGGUGAAUAUUUGUGAAUGGAUUGAAAAUACAGUAUAAUUCAUAUACA